AGCUCCUGAGGGCAAAGCCUGGGCCUCAUCCUCUUGUGGAUCCAGGAGAGCAGUCGCUGAAGAGAAAGAGGAAGAAAAGGAGUGGCUAGAAAAGAAAGUUUAUUUCCACUGCAGGAAGCACUGCCUCCCAUCUGAGAAAUGUCCCAAGCAGGAAUCAGUGCUGCAAUGACUUAUGAGUGAAUGCAUCAAAAAGACCAAGUUGAACUUAUGAGCAAAUGCAUCAAAAAGACCAAGACUUGAUCCCUUGCCCACAAAGAUACAAGGCUGAGGACAAAGCCAUGAAGGAAAAGCCUCAUUGAAGAAGAGGAACCUAAGAGAAGCAGGUUCUGCUCUGAUGAACUCCCAUAAAGGCGUUCCCAUAAAGGUGUGAGCCUGAGUGAUAAUCUAGAUAUGGUACAGUUGACAUCAGGUAUAUGGCGGCAGCCAGAAAUUCAACUUUGUCCAUCAGCUCUCUGCACAACAGGAAAGAUGGUGACCUUCCA
This 482-nucleotide non-coding RNA is filed under the name Pan troglodytes (chimpanzee). The record is from RNAcentral. Lineage: Eukaryota; Metazoa; Chordata; Mammalia; Primates; Hominidae.